Molecule: long non-coding RNA, 323 nt
Filed under: Sorghum bicolor (sorghum)
Lineage: Eukaryota; Viridiplantae; Streptophyta; Magnoliopsida; Poales; Poaceae
Description: long non-coding RNA (SBIC_LNC005315)
Source: RNAcentral
AAUGUACCGACGCACGUUCCGCGUCGUGUCUCCUAACCACGACAUUCAAAAGUCAUUUCCAUUUCGAAUGUGUGUUCUUUGGGUAACAUGAAUAUCAUUUUUUCAAUAUUUUUUUACAACUAUUUCAUUGACUCGUAGUUCAAAUUUGAACGCAACCGAAAAAAUGAAAAUAAAUAAUGUUAAUUGUAAAAAUAUAGCAAACAUGUUUCAAAUUUUAUGAAAUUUGAGUAUGGAGUUACAAAUGGUGAAUGUGUAGAGAAGAAAAAAAUUUGAGGACAAAAACUAAAAAAAAAGAUAAAUUAUUUGCCGUGUGUCGCACCCCU